This 422-nucleotide small RNA is filed under the name Pan troglodytes (chimpanzee). RNAcentral's name for it is "processed transcript". Lineage: Eukaryota; Metazoa; Chordata; Mammalia; Primates; Hominidae. The record is from RNAcentral.
GGCCGCCGGCUUCCCGGGUGGGGGGUGUGCGGGGACAGCGGGGGUCCAUGCGCCGGCCGCGCGCGCGGAGUGCCGGGUGCCCGGCUGGAAGGUCCCGAGAAGGGGCGUGGCCGGGGCCUCCCAGCGGCUUCCCGGAGCUCCUGGAGCCCUAAUCCCAUUCCCGGAGUCCGCCUCGUAUCCAGCAGCGAAGACAUGUUCCGGUCCGGUGGGGGGGUAUCUCUGGCGGGUGACUCGACCUCCUUGAGGCCCGCCGCCCGCGGGCCCACGAGUGCCUGGGUGAGGCUCUGCGUGUCAUGCAUCAGAUCAUCUCCAAGUACCCGCUGCUGAACACCGUGGAGACGCUCACCGCAGCCGGCACCCUCAUUGCCAAGGUCAAAGCCUUCCAUUAUGAGAGCAACAAUGAUCUGGAGAAACAGGAGUUU